Molecule: ribosomal RNA, 440 nt
Filed under: uncultured bacterium
Lineage: Bacteria
Description: bacterial SSU rRNA
Rfam family: Bacterial small subunit ribosomal RNA
Source: RNAcentral
CCUACGGGAGGCUGCAGUAGGGAAUCUUUCACAAUGGGCGAAAGCCUGAUGGAGCAAUGCCGCGUGCAGGACGAAGGCCUUCGGGUUGUAAACUGCUUUUAUAAGCGAGAAAUAUGAUGGUAACUUAUGAAUAAGGAUCGGCUAACUACGUGCCAGCAGCCGCGGUCAUACGUAGGAUCCGAGCAUUAUCCGGAGUGACUGGGUGUAAAGAGUUGCGUAGGUGGCAAGGUAAGUAGAUAGUGAAAUCUGGUGGCUCAACCAUUCAGACUAUUAUCUAAACUAUCUAGCUCGAGACUGUUAUGGGUAACUGGAAUUUCUAGUGUAGGAGUGAAAUCCGUAGAUAUUAGAAGGAACACCGAUAGCGUAGGCAGGUUACUGGGACAGUUCUGACACUAAGGCACGAAAGCGUAGGGAGCAAACGGGAUUAGAUACCCUAGUAG